Molecule: unclassified non-coding RNA, 327 nt
Filed under: soil metagenome
Description: partial contains 5.8S ribosomal RNA, internal transcribed spacer 2, and large subunit ribosomal RNA
Rfam family: 5.8S ribosomal RNA (bases 1-120)
Source: RNAcentral
GAUGAAGAACGCAGCGAAAUGCGAUACGUAAUGUGAAUUGCAGAAUUCAGUGAAUCAUCGAAUCUUUGAACGCACAUUGCGCCCCUUGGUAUCCCGAGGGGCAUGCCUGUUCGAGCGUCAUUUCACCACUCAAGCCUGGCUUGGUGUUGGGCGACGUCCCCUUUGGGGACGCGCCUCGAAACGCUCGGCGGCGUGGCACCGGCUUUAAGCGUAGCAGAAUCUUUCGCUUUGGAAGUCGGGGCCCCGUCUGCCGGAAGACCUACUCGCAAGGUUGACCUCGGAUCAGGCAGGGAUACCCGCUGAACUUAAGCAUACAAUAAGCGGAGA